RNAcentral lists this ribosomal RNA (921 nucleotides) under uncultured bacterium. Its description in RNAcentral is "bacterial SSU rRNA". It matches the Rfam family "Bacterial small subunit ribosomal RNA", at positions 470 to 1400 of the family's 1533-position model. The record is from RNAcentral.
UGACGGUACCUGACUAAGAAGCCCCGGCUAACUACGUGCCAGCAGCCGCGGUAAUACGUAGGUGGCGAGCGUUAUCCGGAAUGAUUGGGCGUAAAGGGUGCGUAGGUGGCAGAACAAGUCUGGAGUAAAAGGUAUGGGCUCAACCCGUACUGGCUCUGGAAACUGUUCAGCUAGAGAACAGAAGAGGACGGCGGAACUCCAUGUGUAGCGGUAAAAUGCGUAGAUAUAUGGAAGAACACCGGUGGCGAAGGCGGCCGUCUGGUCUGUUGCUGACACUGAAGCACGAAAGCGUGGGGAGCAAAUAGGAUUAGAUACCCUAGUAGUCCACGCCGUAAACGCUGAAAAGUAGGUGUUGGGGGAAUAACUCAGUGCCGCAGUUAACGCAAUAAGUUCUCCGCCUGGGGAAGUAUGCACGCAAGUGUGAAACUCAAAGGAAUUGACGGGGGCCCGCACAAGCGGUGGAGUAUGUGGUUUAAUUCGAAGCAACGCGAAGAACCUUACCAGGCCUUGACAUCCCUUGCAGAGGUAUAGAGAUAUAUCCGAGGUUACCAAGGAGACAGGUGGUGCAUGGUUGUCGUCAGCUCGUGUCGUGAGAUGUUGGGUUAAGUCCCGCAACGAGCGCAACCCUUGUGAUAUGUUACUAACAUUGAGUUGAGGACUCAUAUCAGACUGCCGGUGAUAAACCGGAGGAAGGUGGGGAUGACGUCAAAUCAUCAUGCCCCUUAUGGCCUGGGCUACACACGUACUACAAUGGCGUCUACAAAGAGCGGCAAGCCUGUGAAGGCAAGCGAAUCUCAUAAAGGACGUCUCAGUUCGGAUUGAAGUCUGCAACCCGACUUCAUGAAGCUGGAAUCGCUAGUAAUCGCGAAUCAGCAUGUCGCGGUGAAUACGUUCUCGGGCCUUGCACUCACCGCCCGUCAA